RNAcentral lists this ribosomal RNA (497 nucleotides) under uncultured bacterium. RNAcentral describes it as "partial 16S ribosomal RNA". It matches the Rfam family "Bacterial small subunit ribosomal RNA", at positions 28 to 507 of the family's 1533-position model. The record is from RNAcentral.
GACGAACGCUGGCGGCGUGCCUAAUACAUGCAAGUUGAGCGCUGAAGGCUGGUACUUGUACCAACUGGAUGAGCAGCGAACGGGUGAGUAACGCGUGGGGAAUCUGCCUUUGAGCGGGGGACAACAUUUGGAAACGAAUGCUAAUACCGCAUAAAAACUUUAAACACAAGUUUUAAGUUUGAAAGAUGCAAUUGCAUCACUCAAAGAUGAUCCCGCGUUGUAUUAGCUAGUUGGCGAGGUAAAGGCUCACCAAGGCGAUGAUACAUAGCCGACCUGAGAGGGUGAUCGGCCACAUUGGGACUGAGACACGGCCCAAACGCCUACGGGAGGCAGCAGUAGGGAAUCUUCGGCAAUGGACGAAAGUCUGACCGAGCAACGCCGCGUGAGUGAAGAAGGUUGUCGGAUCGUAAAACUCUGUUGGUAGAGAAGAACGUUGGUGAGAGUGGAAAGCUCAUCAAGUGACGGUAACUACCCAGAAAGGGACGGCUAACUACGUG